Molecule: ribosomal RNA, 133 nt
Filed under: uncultured bacterium
Lineage: Bacteria
Description: partial 16S ribosomal RNA
Source: RNAcentral
GGUACCGUCAGGCCUAACGUGUAUUAUACGUUAGGAGGUUCUUCCCCUCUGACAGAGCUUUACGACCCAAGAGCCUUCAUCACUCACGCGGUAUUGCUGCGUCAGGCUUUCGCCCAUUGCGCAAAAUUCCCCA